AAUUCACAAUCGAUUUGAAAGAGUUCUAAUCGCCCACUGCCUUGCUAAAAGGAACCUAACGGAUCGUACACCGUGUAAGGUAGAGAUUGAAGAAACAAAGGAGAUGAGUAAGAAUAAUUAAAUGGUUUAAUUAUUUAUGGCAAGGAUUAAUUAAUAUGUUAAUUAAUCAAACGAAUAAAGUUCUUUAAAAGACCACGGGUUAGUUUUGGGCCUCAAGGCCCAAUGGGCUUCGAAAGUUAAGCCCAUUGACUUAAGUUGUAUGACAACUUAAUUCACAAAGGCCCAAUAAGCCCAAUAAAACCCUAUGGACGGCCAUUUAGAGGAAGGGUAGUGAACUUUCUUUAAUUGCAAGUUUGCCACUCCAAUGAAUAAAGGUAUAAAUAUGACUUUAUAGCCAAAAUUCAUUUAGGGUUUUUUUUGAGGAAAUUGGAGAGAACACAAAGCUCUCCUUUCUCUCUAAAGAGGCCGGCCACCCUUGGAGGGAUUAGCUAGUAAUCUUUCUCCUCCAAGGUCACUAAUCUCUUCUUCACAUCUUACCUUGGUGUGGAGACUUAGAGGUUCUCUAUUUUGAGAACUUGGAGAAACAUAUUCUUCCAUCCAAAUCCAUGGAUCUAAGAAGCAAGGAAUGAAGGCCCUCUCCUUGGGUGAUUAUCCUUUGCUUAUGCAAAGAGGAAUCAAGAAAGGUAUAAUUUCUCAACUCACUUUCUUUUGAGUUGAGUCUUGGUUCACCUAACUACUAGGCUUUGAAUUUCUUGGGUAAUGUUUUGUUUUGAGUGCAUGCAAGCAUGAUUCCGCCUUUAAUUUGUUAAUUGCAUGCUAUAUAUGUUGCUCAAAUGAACUUGUUUUUCAUAAAAUUUUCCUUCAAGUGGUAUCAGAGCCUAGGUCUAGUAGUUGGUGAAUCCUUUUGGGUUUUGUAGUUCAUAGUCUUUGAUUUAAAUGUUGUAAUAUGUUACAAGCUUUAUUCUUGUUUCUUUGAAUGUAAAUUUUGUUGGAAAAUUUGCCAUCUCAAAUGUUGUAGAUGUAGUUCAUAUGAGCAUGAAUAUUGGAGCUAAAAUUUGGUGCCAUGUUUUUGGGAAAAUUCGGCCAAAUCCAAAGGGUGGAUUUUUGGGUUCAUGUUUGACUUGUUAAAAGUGUUUUCCAGUAACUUUUGGAACCCCUUGUUGAGCAAAAAUUGUACAUAAUAUGUAAACAAAUAAUUCACUCGACACAAUUUCACCCUCGUUCAAUUUUCCGAAGAGGGUUUUAUUAAUUCGAGUUCGACCCAUUCUAGGCUACGUGCCUAUUAAUUACAACCUUCCUUUUGGGAAAGAAAUACCCUUUGAUUCCAUUUCGGAAAAAAUGUAACUUGAGGAUUUUGGGGCUUGUUUGAUUUUGUGACAGCAUCUAGGUCGAAUCCUAGAUUACCUACGUACCCCCUUGAGGAAUCAAGUCACUCGUAGUUCAUGGAUUUGGUACUUAUUUGGAUUUGAUGCCUUGUGCAAUUUUAGCUCAUGCGGGCGAGGAGCAUAGUGCCUUAUGCAGUUUCAGCUCAUGCGGGCGAGGAGCAUUUGAAAAUUUGAUAUGGCUUCAUGCCAUUUGAGACUUUUCUUCGGCUUUGUGCCAUUUGAGACUUUGAUACGGCUUCGUGCCCAUUUGAAAACUUUUCUUCAAUUUCGUGCCAUUUUGGUAUUUGAUAGCAGGAGUGAAUUUAGUUUAUAUAAACAAGGGAUUCGUUUCGGUUUCACGGUUGCGUCUAAAACUUGAUAUUAGACUGCCUACGUAUCCUUAACGGAAUCAAACCGGCGUAGUUCAUUAUUUUGAAUGACUUUUGAAGCGACUUUAUGCCUUUGAGUUUUGACACGGCUUUGUACCGUUUUGAGAUUUGAUACGGCUUCGUGCCAUUUGACUUCUUCAAGAAUUUUAUGGGAGCUUGAUCCAUGUAUUUAUCGAGCUUUUUUUUUUUUGCUUUGAGAUGGUUUGCGUCCACGGUGUUUGGAAUGACUUGUGUUGUCAUUGUCUCUGUGCUUAUACUGUAAGUUUCGUUGACUUGGAUCUAACUUAAUGGGUGCUUGAAUCUACAAAAUCCACUUUGGUGAAAACAAAAUGAUAGACUCACGGGAUUAACUUCCAUUAGCUUGCUGAAAAGCUUCUUUCAUAUUUUAAUCCUAGUAAAUUGGGACUUUAUCUUUGCUUGACUUUUCCUCAUGGUUUUGUAGCAAUUCCAUCCUAUUUGAAAUAGGACUUUUUGAAACUUUAAAAGAAUGAAAGCCCCCCCCCCCCCCCUUUUUAUAACUUUGCUUUUGAGUUUUCAAACCCAUUUGCCAUGGGAUUUUGAACCCAUUUAUUCCAAGACCCAAGUUUUCAUUUAAUCUGACAACAGGCUUUGUUUUCUUUUUUUUUAUGUGAUUUUAAGGCUUCAAGUUUUAAUAGGACUUCCAAUUUCAACCACUCCCUUUUUCUUCACGUGAGCACUCCCAUGUGAAGUACAAUUUUCACUUUUUUUUUUUGUGGCCGAGACUUGAAGGCAAAGUGGGUCUUCAAUAUUUACUUUUCUUUGAGCAGACUCCCACGUAAGGGGUUCAGUUAUUUCACCCCCUCUGCUUGCGAGAUGGUUUCAAAGGAAUCCUCUUUUUCCUUGGCUCUUGACGCACAGUGUUCUUCUACCAGAAGCUAAAGGCAGCUCCCGUUGAUUUUGCCAUAUUUUUUGAAAUUCCUUUUGGAUUUGUCAGCCGUUGAUUUCCAAACGAAGAUGGGUAAGCUUGGUGGAAUUCAAACUCUUUUGAAUUAUUCUAAUUUAUCUUCUUUCCUUAAACUGUAGAGACCUUUUUAUGUAGGUCACAGACUCUCUUUUCUUUCUGCUGUACCAUCUUGCUUAUGCUUCUCUUGUGUACCGAAAAUUCAAAGUGAAAAGGAGAAAAUAACCAGCAGGUCAUACCAUUUUCGUUUUCUAUUUUCUGUACUUGAUUUGGAGUGGGUUGAAGCUGCUCUGAACUAUGAUAAAUUUUUUUAUGUAGGCGUCGCAGGCUUGGCUGUUGGAUACACUAUUUGCAGUACCGAGUUCGUUGAAAACAAUUAUUGACUCAUGGCUCCAAAGGUGAGAUUCUGCAUUUAGAAGUUUGUAGUAACGUGCUCAUAGUAUCUGCUAUACUUUUGAAUGGGUUUUGAUGUAUUAUCACUCUCUGGCAUUUCUGUUUCCGCAUAAAGGAUUAUUUGACUGGUCUUAACAGUGGACAUUUGGACACCUCUUUUGUGUUCCCAUUUAUGUUUUGCCUCUGAUAUUUAACACUUGCAUAAAGUGAUACUUUUCCCAAAAUCUUUUGUAGUCUUGAUUUGUCUUCUAGUUCUUUGGGUGUUAAUAUGAAGGCUGCCAUGUGGGUGAGUUUUCUGAUUAAUUUGGAAGGUUUGACAGUAAACUUUUUUCUUUUUUUUUUUUAUUGAACUUGAGACAGCUUGAACCCUUUUUAAUCUAACUUUUCCGUGGUAAGGGAACAAAUGUCCUUUAGCUAUGUAUUUAGAGGUUGGCAUGGUCAACAUUUUUGACCCAAUGUUUGAUCAAACUGAUAGUCACACUUAGGUCCUUCGAAAGACGUCUUCUUCUUUUCCUUUGUCUUUAUUAAAAGUUGAUUUGAAGAAUUUUUCUUUUGUGGAAUUGGACCAAGCAUGAGUCGGUCAAGGGCAGUUUUGGCUUCCUUUUCCUUUGCUAACCAUCUUUUCCAUUUUCUCCUUUUUCUUGGACUUUAUCCCCAAUAAGUUUUCAUAUAAUUUUUAGCCAAAGCCAUCCUCCAUGUUUUGUACCCGUGGGUAGCAAAAACAAAAACACCAAAUAGAAUAAUUUAUUUUCUCUUUCUUGAGUUGCAUCUUUGUAUAUGUUGACUCCUUGCUGUCUUACUUCUCAGGAACUCAAGCUUAGAACUUUGAAAUUGCACUUGACAAUCUGGCGAAUGAGUAGACCAUUUAAACUUGGUUAAAAUUUCACGGGGUGGUCUAGGCCACCCCGAAGAAAUUCAUGGGAUUCUUGGAGAUUAUCUCUGCUGCAGCUGGGGAGUCAGUGGAUAUUUAGAGUCUCCAACUCCAUUUAAUUGGUGAAGAACGCCAAACAAAGAGGCAAAGGUCUUAUAUGCUCUUGCUUGUUUCCCUUUCCUCAUUCAUUGCAGCUUUUUAUUUUUGUGUUUGCUGCCACAAUUUUUUUUGUUCUUCUUGCAACAUAACAUCAAACAAGAGAAAAAGAAUAAUUUUAAAAGAACUUGCUUCAUACCUGGUGAUGAAUGUUCUUCUUUUGGAUCUUGAUUCAAAAGCACAAAAUGGUUGAAUAGCUUGCUCUCUUUCCUGGCAGCACCUUGUUGCUUUUGGUAUUUUCUCUAAAAGUUGCUUCUUAUUUUCUACAGAGUUUCCCCUCUUUUUUCUGUCUCCUCCCUUUUUACUUGCUGCAGGUGAUGCUUAUUUAUAGGCAUCCUAGGAAAGCUCUAGAAUUUGUUACGUGGGGGAGAGGUAGAGGCCAUGACCUCCUGCCACUUUCUGUUAACCACCAUUUCUGACUCCACGUUCCUUUUUGUUUGCAGAAAAUGGGGAGCACCUUUUUUUUUCUUUUGUGCACGUUACUUCCCCCCUUUUGUAGGAGAAAAUAAAUUUUAUUUGUGGGUAAAAGCCCAUCCUCAUCUUUUGGGCUUGGAUUACACCUUGUAGUUUGACCCCAUUUGUGUGGACUCUAUUUUUUCAUAUGUUUAUUAUUAUUAUUUUGUUUUUGUUCAACACCCCUAUGUACCCUAGUUUGGUUAUAUGUUAUUUCCCUUAAGUUUGAAUGGUUUUGGGAGGUCUUUGGGUGAAAAAUGUUCAUGGAGAUUUUUGAAUUUUUCAUGAAUGUUCUUCAUUGUUCUUGAUAUUUUAGCAAAGAACAAAAAGUUUGGUGUUUUGAUUCAAAGUUUUGAUUUAUUUCAUAAAGUUUUUGUUUUGUGCUUUUCAAAUGUUUAAAUGUGUUAGAUAUUUAUUUAGAAAGGUGAUAGAAAUAUUGAUGGGUGUGUAAGGAUUAAUUCCCUUUCACACACACCACUUGCAUGACUUUUGUGUCAUGCACCUCAUGCAUGACUUUAUGUCAAAACUACAAAUCAACACACACAUCACUCCCUUUAAUAUCUAAAACCGGCCACCCUAUUAAAAUAGGGUACUUUUGGGGCUUUUAUGCAAUUACAUUUGUGUAUUUGCACUUUGGCCCAAAAGUUUAUGUUUUUACGUUUAGGUCCAAAAAUGCUAAAGGACAAAUAGUUUUGUUCCUUUAAUGAAGUUUUUGUAUUUGUUGAAAUUUUUAGGUUCUAGUUGUAAUUACAUGAAGUAGUGGACUUUUGUGUUUUUACAAAGUGACCCCAAAAGUUUGUGUUUCGCAAUAUAGCCCAAAAAGUUGUGGUUAUUGCAUGUUGGCCCAAAUUAGGUAGAGAACAAAAUUGUUUUGUCUCUUUAAAUGAGAAUUGGAUUUUCAUUUCAUUUAGCUCCAUUUAAAUCAAUUUUAUGGAUACAAAAACCAAAUGAAAAUGUUGCAUUCAAGUUUAAUUAGUUAAAGCGUUAAUUAAUUAAAGGGUGAUUAUGAACCUAAGCCUACGAUAAUUGAGCUAUGUGAAAGGCCGUUUCAAAUUUGUUUGAACCAUGGGAAUGUGUAGAUUAGAUUUUGGUUGUAAUUUGAUUUGAUCAAAUGUUGUACAGAGCAUAAGCUCAUCUUUACUUUGAAGUACUCCUUUCUUGUUUUAUUUGAUAUGCAUGAAAAUGGAGUAGCGGGUCCAACGCCCAAUAAGACAACACGCCUUAAUGUGAUUAAACGCGUAACUAAAAUCAAUCACCAUCCCUAGACUGAGUGAUGCGAAAAUUAACUUAACACACAAAUUAAACCCUCUUUUUGUCAAUUGUAGUAAAGAAUGUAAGUAGGGAUCGUUCUAGGCC
RNAcentral lists this long non-coding RNA (5904 nucleotides) under Malus domestica (apple). Its description in RNAcentral is "long non-coding RNA (MDOM_LNC018409)". Lineage: Eukaryota; Viridiplantae; Streptophyta; Magnoliopsida; Rosales; Rosaceae. The record is from RNAcentral.